RNAcentral lists this ribosomal RNA (305 nucleotides) under uncultured bacterium. RNAcentral's name for it is "bacterial SSU rRNA". It matches the Rfam family "Bacterial small subunit ribosomal RNA", at positions 333 to 655 of the family's 1533-position model. The record is from RNAcentral.
UUUUGCCUACGGGAGGCAGCAGUAGGUCCUAUUGCUCCCUUUGGGACCCCCUGAAGCAGCAACGCCGCGUGGAGGAUGAAGGUUUUCGGAUUGUAAACUCCUUUUGUUAGAGAAGAUAAUGACGGUAUCUAACGAAUAAGCACCGGCUAACUCCGUGCCAGCAGCCGCGGUAAUACGGAGGGUGCAAGCGUUACUCGGAAUCACUGGGCGUAAAGAGCGCGUAGGCGGGAUAGCAAGUCAGAUGUGAAAUCCUAUGGCUUAACCAUAGAACUGCAUUUGAAACUGUUAUUCUAGAGUAUGGGAGG